This 252-nucleotide ribosomal RNA is filed under the name uncultured bacterium. RNAcentral describes it as "partial 16S ribosomal RNA". It matches the Rfam family "Bacterial small subunit ribosomal RNA", at positions 335 to 580 of the family's 1533-position model. The record is from RNAcentral.
GUCCUACGGGAGGCAGCAGUAGGGAAUCUUCCACAAUGGACGAAAGUCUGAUGGGGCAACGCCGCGUGAGUGAAGAAGGGUUUCGGCUCGUAAAGCUCUGUUGGUAGUGGAGAAAGAUAGAGGGAGUAACUGGCCUUUAUUUGACGGUAAUUACUUAGAAAGUCACGGCUAACUACGUGCCAGCAGCCGCGGUAAUACGUAGGGGGCAAGCGGUGUCCGGAUUUAUUGGGCGUAAAGCGAGUGCAGGCGGGU